RNAcentral lists this unclassified non-coding RNA (1781 nucleotides) under Lytechinus variegatus (green sea urchin). RNAcentral's name for it is "ceramide-1-phosphate transfer protein-like, transcript variant X2". The record is from RNAcentral. Lineage: Eukaryota; Metazoa; Echinodermata; Echinoidea; Temnopleuroida; Toxopneustidae.
UUAUCAAAGAAUAUACGAUAUCGAGAUAACUAGGCAUUCAGACAUCGAUAGAAUCGCUCUCCGUGGGCUAGGUAAAGGAAGCUAGCAAAUACAAAAGAGAUAAAGUAUCAACUCUUCAGAUAAUAUAAUUGUCAACAUUUUAGCUUCGAUGUCACUACAGGUGCAUGUAAUAGUGGAAGGACUAAGCAACAGCCACUACUACUGAGAGAGGUUAUCUGGUAUCGGCAAGUGUGCUGUGCACGCGCGAAAGAGCUAAUUGGAGAUCAAGUUUGAAUUCUGGAGACGAUCGCCUACAUCUACACAUUUUGAACUUUGGUGGAACUUAUUGUGUGUAGUGCAGACUUAUCGAAAACCCUAACCCAGCAAGGGCAGAGUAUUCUAGCGUAGACAAAACUGAAAUCUGUCGAGCAAAAGAAAAAAAGGAGAUAAAGUGCAUGAAGACCAGUGGUUUGGUUUCCAUUGCAGGGAAUCUCGACUCUUGAGAAAACAAGAACAUCAUACUGACAUCGGCAAAAUUUUCAUGUAUGCACGUCGAGUGUAGCCAAAAGAGAUAACGUUUGAAUUUGUUGAUCACCUCGAUAUGAGCUUUGACCUGUGAGAUAGAUCUCAGCGUUCAUUCGGAAAGAAAACACACAAGGCUACUAUAUGCAGUAUCGAAUUUUGAUUUCUAUCUGAACGUAACUGAGACCUAGAAUCAUAGCGCAGUACUGCCAGUGAGAACAGUUCAACCUUGUGUCUUCGUCGUUCUUGCGUCUGCAUUGGUUUAUCACGCGGUCGAGCGUUUCACAGGAGGUGAAGGGUUUGGGAGACGUUCUUGAAGAUGACGGAGAAGAUGGAUAUAGAGGUUGUGAGGGACUGCUUCAAGGCAGCCAAGAAGGAGGAUGGGACCAUCAAUAUUGAAGACAUUAUGAGGGGAUAUGAGGAGAUUGCAAGACUUUACGACAUGAUGGGUUCUCUAUUUACCUUCGUAUCAAAGGACAUGCGUUAUCGCCUCAAAGCCUUGGAGACCCACCGCUCCGAUGACAGCCUCUCCGCCAACUACCAAACCGUCCAAGCCGUCCUCGACUACGAAACCUCGAACGGCAUCAAACGGAAGUCCAAACGCGGCGGCCUGUCCGGGAACCGCGCCCUCCACGAGAUGCAUUUCGACAUCGAAUUCUUCAUCGAGAUGUUCAUCACCUUGGCAGCGGGCAACGACGAGAGCAAAUGCUCCGAGCUGUCCCGCCAGGCCUUUGACAAGACGCUCAGCAAUAACGUGAACUUCGCCGUGCGCCAGGCGGCGCGUCUGGCCAUGAAGUGGUUGCCGACCCGGAAGGAGUUCAUUGAUAGUUAUCUGAAACAGGACACUGCGCAGGCGCUGGAGCUGAUCGAGCCAACCACUACUAUCAUGAAGCAGGUUUACAACAUCAUGGAAUCGGGAUUUAAAAAGCAUAAUAUAAAGAAUUAACACUAAUAGCCUAAUUGUAGAGGAGUAAAAUGCUGAGAAGUAAUUGUGAGUAAAUUGACAAGAAAGAUACAUGGUGUACCGUGAAAUCUACUACACUAUUCUUCUUCGCCAUGGAAACCUUCAGAAAUUACUAAGUAAUGAACUGUAAAUUGCAUGACAAACAACUAACUUGGCGUCUAUUUACAGUCUACCAUGUCUACUUGAAGAUUUAUUGAAUCCUCUAAAAGUAAUGCAAAUCACUUGUUCAUUUCGGUUCUAAGUCACAUGUAUACAUGCUAAACAGUUUGGUAAGAUGUGAAAUAAAAACGUGCUUUGAUUGUCAUUAUUGAAAAAA